CCGGCGUGUGUGAGAAGGCCUUUGGUUGUAAAGCACUUUAAGCAGUGAAGAGACUCCGUGGUUAAUACCCACGGACGAUGACAUUAGCUGCAGAUAAGCACCGGCUAACUCUGUGCCGGCAGCCGCGGUAAUACAGAGGGUGCAAGCGUUAAUCGGAAUUACUGGGCGUAAAGCGAGCGUAGGUGGCUUGAUAAGUCAGAUGUGAAAUCCCCGGGCUUAACCUGGGAACUGCAUCUGAUACUGUUAGGCUAGAAUAGGUGAGAGGAAGGUAGAAUUCCAGGUGUAGCGGUGGAAUGCGUAGAGAUCUGGAGGAAUACCGAUGGCGAAGGCAGCCUUCUGGCAUCAUAUUGACACUGAGGUUCGAAAGCGUGGGUAGCAAACAGGAUUAGAUACCCUGGUAGUCCACGCCGUAAACGAUGUCUACUAGUCGUUGGGUCCCUUGAGGACUUAGUGACGCAGCUAACACAAUAAGUAGACCGCCUGGGGAGUACGGCCGCAAGGUUAAAACUCAAAUGAAUUGGC
Molecule: ribosomal RNA, 522 nt
Filed under: uncultured Psychrobacter sp.
Lineage: Bacteria; Pseudomonadati; Pseudomonadota; Gammaproteobacteria; Moraxellales; Moraxellaceae
Description: bacterial SSU rRNA
Rfam family: Bacterial small subunit ribosomal RNA
Source: RNAcentral